UGGGGAAUAUUGGACAAUGGGCGAAAGCCUGAUCCAGCCAUGCCGCGUGUGUGAAGAAGGUCUUCGGAUUGUAAAGCACUUUAAGUUGGGAGGAAGGGCAGUAAGCGAAUACCUUGCUGUUUUGACGUUACCGACAGAAUAAGCACCGGCUAACUCUGUGCCAGCAGCCGCGGUAAUACAGAGGGUGCGAGCGUUAAUCGGAUUUACUGGGCGUAAAGCGCGCGUAGGUGGUUCGUUAAGUUGAAUGUGAAAGCCCCGGGCUCAACCUGGGACCUGCAUCCAAAACUGGCGAGCUAGAGUAGGGCAGAGGGUGGUGGAAUUUCCUGUGUAGCGGUGAAAUGCGUAGAUAUAGGAAGGAACACCAGUGGCGAAGGCGACCACCUGGGCUCAUACUGACACUGAGGUGCGAAAGCGUGGGGAGCAAACAGG
Molecule: ribosomal RNA, 429 nt
Filed under: Pseudomonadota bacterium
Lineage: Bacteria; Pseudomonadati; Pseudomonadota
Description: Proteobacteria bacterium partial 16S ribosomal RNA
Rfam family: Bacterial small subunit ribosomal RNA
Source: RNAcentral